CUCCGGUUGAUCCUGCCGGACCCGACUGCUAUCAGAGUGGGACUAAGCCAUGCGAGUCAACAUAGCAAUAUGUGGCAUACGGCUCAGUAACACGUAGUCAACAUGCCCAGGGGACGUGGAUAACCUCGGGAAACUGAGGAUAAACCGCGAUAAGUCACUACUUCUGGAAUGGGUAAUGACUCAAAUCUACAUGGCCCCUGGAUUGGACUGCGGCCGAUCAGGCUGUUGGUGAGGUAAUGGCCCACCAAACCUGUAACCGGUACGGGCUCUGAGAGGAGGAGCCCGGAGAUGGGCACUGAGACAAGGGCCCAGGCCCUAUGGGGCGCAGCAGGCGCGAAACCUCUGCAAUAGGCGAAAGCCUGACAGGGUUACUCUGAGUGAUUUCCGUUAAGGAGAUCUUUUGGCACCUCUAAAAAUGGUGCAGAAUAAGGGGUGGGCAAGUCUGGUGUCAGCCGCCGCGGUAAUACCAGCACCCCGAGUGGUCGGGACGUUUAUUGGGCCUAAAGCAUCCGUAGCCGGUUCUACAAGUCUUCCGUUAAAUCCACCUGCUUAACAGAUGGGCUGCGGAAGAUACUAUAGAGCUAGGAGGCGGGAGAGGCAAGCGGUACUCGAUGGGUAGGGGUAAAAUCCGUUGAUCCAUUGAAGACCACCAGUGGCGAAGGCGGCUUGCCAGAACGCGCUCGACGGUGAGGGAUGAAAGCUGGGGGAGCAAACCGGAUUAGAUACCCGGGUAGUCCCAGCUGUAAACGAUGCAGACUCGGUGAUGAGUUGGCUUCUUGCCAACUCAGUGCCGCAGGGAAGCCGUUAAGUUUGCCGCCUGGGGAGUACGGUCGCAAGACUGAAACUUAAAGGAAUUUGGCGGGGGAGCA
RNAcentral lists this ribosomal RNA (869 nucleotides) under uncultured archaeon. RNAcentral's name for it is "bacterial SSU rRNA". It matches the Rfam family "Archaeal small subunit ribosomal RNA", at positions 1 to 878 of the family's 1478-position model. The record is from RNAcentral.